Molecule: ribosomal RNA, 686 nt
Filed under: uncultured prokaryote
Description: bacterial SSU rRNA
Rfam family: Bacterial small subunit ribosomal RNA
Source: RNAcentral
GAUGAACGCUGACAGAAUGCUUAACACAUGCAAGUCGAUUCAAGUUACCUUCGGGUAAUGAGGAUGGCGGACGGGUGAGUAACGCGUAAGGAACUUGCCUCUUGGUCUGGGACAACUGUUGGAAACGACAGCUAAUACCGGAUAUUAUGAGAUUCUCGCAUGGGAAACUUAUGAAAGCUAUAUGCGCCAAGAGAGAGCCUUGCGUUCCAUUAGCUAGUUGGUGGGGUAAUGGCCCACCAAGGCGACGAUGGAUAGCCGGCCUGAGAGGGUGAACGGCCACAAGGGGACUGAGACACGGCCCUUACUCCUACGGGAGGCAGCAGUGGGGAAUAUUGGACAAUGGGCCACAAGCCUGAUCCAGCAAUUCUGUGUGCACGAUGAAGGUCUUCGGAUUGUAAAGUGCUUUCAGUUGGGAAGAAGAAAGUGACGGUACCAACAGAAGAAGCGACGGCUAAAUACGUGCCAGCAGCCGCGGUAAUACGUAUGUCGCAAGCGUUAUCCGGAUUUAUUGGGCGUAAAGCGCGUCUAGGCGGAAAAAUAAGUCUGAUGUUAAAAUGCGGGGCUCAACUCCGUAUUGCGUUGGAAACUGUUUUUCUAGAGUACUGGAGAGGUGGGCGGAACUACAAGUGUAGAGGUGAAAUUCGUAGANAUUUGUAGGAAUGCCGAUGGAGAAGUCAGCUCACUGG